GAAACCGAGUCUUAACUGGGCGUUAAGUUGCAGGGUAUAGACCCGAAACCCGGUGAUCUAGCCAUGGGCAGGUUGAAGGUUGGGUAACACUAACUGGAGGACCGAACCGACUAAUGUUGAAAAAUUAGCGGAUGACUUGUGGCUGGGGGUGAAAGGCCAAUCAAACCGGGAGAUAGCUGGUUCUCCCCGAAAGCUAUUUAGGUAGCGCCUCGUGAAUUCAUCUCCGGGGGUAGAGCACUGUUUCGGCAAGGGGGUCAUCCCGACUUACCAACCCGAUGCAAACUGCGAAUACCGGAGAAUGUUAUCACGGGAGACACACGGCGGGUGCUAACGUCCGUCGUGAAGAGGGAAACAACCCAGACCGCCAGCUAAGGUCCCAAAGUCAUGGUUAAGUGGGAAACGAUGUGGGAAGGCCCAGACAGCCAGGAUGUUGGCUUAGAAGCAGCCAUCAUUUAAAGAAAGCGUAAUAGCUCACUGGUCGAGUCGGCCUGCGCGGAAGAUGUAACGGGGCUAAACCAUG
RNAcentral lists this ribosomal RNA (520 nucleotides) under Escherichia coli. Its description in RNAcentral is "partial 23S ribosomal RNA". It matches the Rfam family "Bacterial large subunit ribosomal RNA", at positions 673 to 1191 of the family's 2925-position model. The record is from RNAcentral. Lineage: Bacteria; Pseudomonadati; Pseudomonadota; Gammaproteobacteria; Enterobacterales; Enterobacteriaceae.